This 301-nucleotide unclassified non-coding RNA is filed under the name uncultured Microbotryomycetes. Its description in RNAcentral is "sequence contains ITS2". The stretch from base 1 to 52 matches the Rfam family "5.8S ribosomal RNA", at positions 103 to 154 of the family's 154-position model. Lineage: Eukaryota; Fungi; Basidiomycota; Microbotryomycetes. The record is from RNAcentral.
AACGCACCUUGCACUCUUUGGUAUUCCGAAGAGUAUGUCUGUUUGAGUGUCAUGAAACUCUCAACCCCCUUGUUUUGUAAUGAAACGAGUGUGGGCUUGGAUUAUGGCUGCUGCCGGCGUAAUUGUCGACUCGGCUGAAAUACACGAGCUACCCAUUUCUAAGAAAUAGACGGUUUGACUCGGCGUAAUAACAUAUUUCGCUGAGGACGUCACAUUCUUUAAACAUUAGUGGUGCUUCUAAUGCGACAUCUAAACCUAAGCUUUAGACCUCAAAUCAGUCAGGACUACCCGCUGAACUUAA